UUUUUUUGUAUUUUUCCUUAUUCAAUUCUCUGUUCUAGGGUUUGUUUCUCCUCUGAGCUUCCUUUCUUUGUUCAGCAUUUCCUGGUUAAACCCACCAAAGUGGAGGAUGCUCUCCAGGAUGAAAGUUGGGUUAAGGCCAUGCAUGAUGAACUACUUCAGUUUUAAAGGAAUGAUAUCUGGACCCUAGCACCUAGGCCAGAAAGAGAGCACAUCAUUGGCACAAAGUGGAUAUUCUGCAACAAAACUGAUGAGGAGGGAAAUGUAAUCCACAACAAGGCUCAUCUUGUGGCUCAAGGAUACUCUCAAGUGGAAGGAGUAGAUUUUGAUAAGACAUUUGCUCCUGUAGCUCGUAUCGAAUCCAUUAGGGUUAUCCUGGCCUUGGCUUGUCACUUGAAGUUCAAGUUUUACCAAAUGGAUGCGAAGACUGCACUCUUGAUUGGGUUCCAAAGGAUUCGUUGAUCCACACUUUUCGGAUCAUGUAUUGCACCUCAUGAAGGCCCUCUAUGGAUUAAAGCAAGCACCCAAAGCUUGGUAUGACUGGCUUACACAAUAUUUGGUCUCACAUGGUUUCACAAGAGGACAAGUUGAUCAAAUACUCUUUAUCAAAAGGGAAGAUGGCGAGUUGAUAGUUGCUCAAGUCUAUGUUGAUGAUAUCAUCUUCGGGUCUACGAAGGAUGAACUUGCUCAUAAUUUCUCCAAACUUAUGCAAGCCGAGUUCAAGAUAAGCAUGAUUGGAGAGUAUUCCAGAUCCGUUAGCAAAAGUCAGGUAUAUUUAUAUCUCAAUCUAAAUAUGCUAAAAAUCUUGUGAAAAAGUUUACUUUGGAAUUUGCUAGUUCUGCUAAAACCCCUAUGAUCCCAAAUGUUAAACUCACUAUUGAUUUCUUAGGAAAAAGUGUUGAUUAUUCUCUAUACAGAAGCAUGAUAGGUAGUCUUCUUUACCUUACUACUAGUAGAGCUAACAUUAGUUACAAUGUUGGAGUGUGUGCUAGAUAUCAGGCAAAUCCCAAAGAGUCUCAUAAGAUUGCUUUGAACAGAAUCAUAAAGUAUGUCAAAUCCAUUGCCGAUUUUGGUGUGUGGUAUAGCAAGGACACCAAUGAUGUCUUAGCUGGGUAUUUUGAUUCUAACUGGGUUAGGAAUGCUGAUGAUAAAAAGAGUACUUCGGGGGGUUGUUUUUAUAUGGGUAAUAAUCUUGUCUCUUGGAUGAGUAAGAAGCAGAAUUCCAUCUCAUUAUCCAUUGCUAAGACUGAAUACAUCACUGCCAGUAGGUGCUACACCCAACUUCUGUGGGUGCAAAAACUCCUCUUUGAUUAUGGUAUUCAUCAAGAACAUCUUACCAUCUAUUGUGACAAUACCAGUGCCAUAAACAUCUCUAAGAAUCAUGUUCAACAUUCUCGAACAAAACAUAUAGAGAUACAACACCACUUCAUUCAAAAGCUUGCCGAAGAUGGCACACUCACUCUUGAGUUCAUUCACACUGAUGAUCAAAAGGCUGAUUUGUUCACUAAGCCUCUUGAUAGCAAACAGUUUGAAUUCCUACACCAAAACAUUGGUGUAAUCUCCAUGGAGUGAUCUCUCCUCUUUCUCCUAUUUCCUCAUGCAUUUGCAUCUAGUUUUAUGCUUUGCAUUAUUUAACAUGUUUUUGUUUAUUUGUUUUCAGUUUUAGUUUUAUUUGUUUUUUCAUAAAAAUAAAUAUAUAAAAAAUUAAAAACUCAGAAAAAUACAAAAAUAGUGUGUGUUUUAUGUACAUUGAUACUUGUGUACCUUGCAUGGCCAUUGAAACAAAGUUUUCUAAACUUUGUAUCUUUUGUAGCUUAUAUGAGCAUCUCAAUGCACAACUAAGUAAGUGAGCUUUGUGGCUCUUGUUUGUGAUGAGUAUGAUUAAGUAAUCUCUUAUACUUAACAUUCAUAUCACUUUUUUUGAUAGGAAGGACUAAAAAAUUCUAAGAGAAAUGAAUAAAUAACCAUCUCACCACUAAAAGCUUGCCAAUCAUGAAUAACAUUUAUGUGCUUCAGCAUAGCAAAAUUGUGAUGUUUUUGGCUUAACAUAAUUGGGUAUUUCUUUUCUCUCUCUUAUAUGCCUAUGCAUGAUAUGUUCAAAAACAAAAAAUAUGCAACAAAAAAAAAAAAAUGUAAAAGGAAUUAAAAUGCUUUUAAAUAUGGUUGUAAGCAUGUUUCUAGGAGAUGUGGGAGUUAUAGGAUGUACCAUGAAGGUGAUAGUCUCCAUCAAGCAGUUAUGAUUGUGUGUGAGUAAAAUUUAUUUUCUCAUAUCUCAAAUCAUCAUAACAUGAGACACUUAUGCACUUUUGUUAUGUUUUCACACAAAACACGCAAAAUUUUUUGCUACUUUUGAUACAUGUGCAGGUACAAUGUGAUUUGGCCAUCAGAAGGAAUACAUGUGUUAAUGUAUACUCACUAAACUAUCUUAGCUUGUUUUUGAAAUAUAAAAUUGGUUAGACUUGUUUAGUGUGUGUGUGUUUUGGAUCAUGAAUGCUUUGCAUUUUCUUGUUAAGAGAUGUUUUUAAAAGCUUAACAUGUUGAUUGGAUCUAUUGUUGAGUAGCUUGCUUGCUUGCAUUCAUCUCUAUGUGUUUUUCCUCUCUUUGAAAAACUGCUUUUUAUCAAGCUCGAUAAAUUCUCGAUAGAUUCUCGACAGCUUUCUAUCUAUCGAGCCUCUUGUACUUCUUUUCUCGACAGAUCUUAUCGCAUAUUUGAUCCAUCGAGCUAUCUGAAAUUUGUCUCGAUAGCUGCUUGACAGAUUCUCGAUCCAUCGAGAAAGUUUCUGUUUGGCCGAUAAAUUCUCGAUAGAAUCUCGAUCCAUCGAGGUGAUUUUGCCAUCGAUAGAUUCUCGACAGCACCUCGACAGAUUCAUAUUUGCCGAGAUUUAGUGCUCAACAGAUGUCGACAGAUCCUCGAUCCAUCAUGCUGCAAUUUCUAUAUAUAUGUUGACAGCGAAACCAGACUUCAUUUUCACUUUUCUCUCUCAACUGAAAAAGUUUUUCUCUUGACCCAAACACUCUUUUCUCACUCUAAACCUCCUAUUCACGUGAUUUUAUUCCUAAUGUUGUCUCAAAUCACUUGGUAUGUUUCUUUAUUCUCUUUUUUCUCAUGCAUUUAGACCUAGGUUUUGGGUUCUCUUGAAAUUUUGGGGGUUUUUGCAAACUUUUGAGAUUUUGGUGAAAUUUUGGGGUUAGGUGUUUCUUAUUUAAUGCUAUAUGAUCAUGCAUUGCAUUCCAUUUGCAUUUUCACAAUGUUUCAUGCAUUAUAGGUGUGUUGAUUGAAUUGUGUGCUGUUAGGUUUGGAUUGGGUUGAAUCCAUGAUGUAUUUAUUUUUUGCAUGUCACUUGUUCAUAUUCUUUUUCAUGCAUAUGUACCCUUUCUUUUCUCUACAUCUGUUUUGGGUUGUGAUACCGUGUUUCUGUUUUUCUCCCUCUUGCUCUCUCUCGGAUAGGCUACGCAUGGAACCCAAGUGCAAAUCUACUCCGUCUCGAAACCAUCUACAUUCUGGGACAUCUUCUGAUCCUACUCCAACUCACAUUCGGUUCCGUGAUGAGAAGGCCCAUAAGGAUUUCUCGGAGAACUUUUCUAAACAUGGCAUUCAUCUUGAGCGCCACGUGAUUCUAUCGAACUUUUCCGAUACUGCUCUAACCAGUUUCAUUCACACUCAGGGAUGGGAAUCUCUCUGUGAGAUACCCGUAAGUUGUCCUAUUGUGGUCCUACAAGAGUUAUAGUCCAAUAUGCAUGGUUUCGAUACCUCUGUGCCUCGAUUUGUUACGUAUGUCAGAGGUACACAUAUUGUAGUCACUCCGGAUCUUGUAUCCGAGAUACUAGACAUUCCACGGAUAGCGCAUCCUGACUACCCCGCUUAUCAGCGUCUGAGGACUAUGUCCAAAGACGAGCUCAUUUCUCACUUUUGUGAGAAACCUUCUACAUGGGGUGGUCAUCAAAACACUCUAUGCUCGAAUUUUGCAAAAGGUCCGAGAUUUCUUAACAUGGUGAUGGCAUUCGUUCUCCAUCCAUUGUCUCAUAUAACUUCAUUACAAAGCCUCAUGCUCGAUUUUUGCUAUCCAUUCUUAAGGACCUCUCUAUAGAUUUUCCUUCUCACUUUAUCCUUUCUCUCAUCGAUGUCUAUAGAGAUACGGUGACCUGUGAUAAGUUCAUCUUUCCUUUGGCUAUCACGAGGAUUCUUCACCAUCUUUUGAUCCCUCUACCUAAUUCUCCUUUCUUUCCCACCAUGGGUGCCAUUAGCGCGACGUCUGUUAGACGGAGUGAGGCCCAGCUUCGACCGAAGCGGCCACAAAUAGAGACAACUGUUCCUCCAGCCCCUUUUGCUCCAUCCACCUCCGCUCCUUCUUCUUCAGCGAGUGGUGUGAAUCUUAAGGCCAUCAUGAUGAUGUUUAAGCGCAUGGAUGCUCACCUUGACACUCCCAGUGAUGAUUUGUGUCAAGUGAACACUCAUUGUUGUCAUAUUGCAUGAAGAUAGGCUCAAACGGGUGGCUUCGUCGCUUCACCUUCUCCUUUGCCCGAGUUUUUGGCGGAUGAGGAUGCUGAUGAUGGUAUUGGUGAUGAUGAUAAGGAUGAGGAUGCUAGCUCUUCUAGUAAUGAUGAGAUGACGACCUCUCGGUGACUUACCCUUUGUCAUUCCUGACAAAAAAGGUGAAUAGUUUUGAUUGGGAUGAUGAGAGUAGUGUAUCUAGGGGCAAAGUUAGGAUAGGACUUUUUUGUUAAGGAGAGUGUUCUUUUUUUUUUUUUUUUAGGGAUGUAGUGAGGAUUAUAUGUACUUUUUUUUUCUUUAUCUUAGUUACAUUAUCCUCCUAUACACCGGUCUUGUGACCAUUUUAUUGAUGACAUACAUUGUACUUAUUUCUUUUCUCUCUUUAUACACAUGUUUCUUUAUGUAUGCAAUUCUUUAUUUCUAUUUCACACUAAGAUGUCUUAAUGAGUUUUGUUUAAAGUGUUUCAAAAAGACAGGUUGUCAAAAUUUAUCAUGCCAUAAACUCUCUUCUUGCAAAGUUUUCAAGAGUUUGUGAUAGGAUUAGAUUUUAUUGUAUUCAACAAGUGUUUAUGAGUUUAAUGAUUUAAGACUUCCCUCAUACUUCAUUUGUUUGUUGUGGUUUUGUCACAGACUGCCAAAGGGGGAGAUUGUUAGGACAUAUUUGGAACUUGUUAGAACAUAUGUUAUGUAAAUUGGCUAAUCCUUUGACAAAACGCACUUUACUUGUAAUUGUCUAGAUCUAGGAUGGGUUUAGUACUUCAAGGAACAUGAGUUCAAGUCUAGUAUUGAAGCCAUGCAAAACUGUCCAAGAAACAAGUGAAGAAGUGCUAUUCAUUAAAUCUCGACAGAUAACUCAACAGAUAAUAUCUAUCGAGGUUUAAUCACGAAACUCGAUAGCAGCUUGACAGAAACAGUAUCUAUCAAGAAUUACGAAAAUCAAAUUUCCAAAUCAAUUUUCACGCAUAUCCAUGUAUAUUUGUGUAGGGUUUCUUUUCUCAUAACCCUAAGCAUAUAUAAGGAUUAUUUUAAGGGCCGUCUCACUUGAUGCAAAGGUUGUUGCAAUUGUUGUUACACACAUAUUGUGACUCGAGACAAUUUGCCCUAGUUCAUCAUAUUCUUUGAAGAAGCUACUGCAUCUUUGCGCUAAGGGUUUCGUAACUAAGGAGCUUCUUGAUCUUCAUCGGUUGCAUGAGCUAAAGAACUUUGCAGCCAACAUCUUCCUCAAGUUGGUGUGUUAGUCAUGUACUUUGAUCUGUGUAUCGAUUGGUUAGUCACGUACUUGGAUCUGUGUAUCGAUUGGUUAGUCACGUACUUGGAUCUGUGCAUUGAAAGGAGAGAUUGUCAUUA
Quercus robur (English oak) is the source of this 5836-nucleotide long non-coding RNA. RefSeq lists it as uncharacterized. The record is from RefSeq and is a predicted model, not a curated record. Lineage: Eukaryota; Viridiplantae; Streptophyta; Magnoliopsida; Fagales; Fagaceae. The transcript is spliced from 2 exons.